AGCUCGUCCUCUCUGUGUCUCCAUCAUGGUUGAUUCCUGGAGCUUCAGUCACUCUGAUCUGUCACACUGAGCCUCCGUCAGCAGGGUGGAGCUUCUACUGGUUCAAAGCUGUUCCAAACUCUCAGGAUUCCUACACCUAUGAGCCUCUACCUGGUACCAGCAGUGGGACAGCAAACAAUUCCUUCACAGUUCAUGGACAGACACACACAGCAGGAUAUGCAUGUUCAGCUGGACGAGGGGAUCCGCUGAUUUACACACAACACAGUCGUCCCACAUUUGUCUGGUCUUCAGGUGUUCAUCCAUCAGCGUCUCUCACAGUGAAUCCUGACAGAGUCCAACACUUCACCUCUGAAUCUCUCUCACUGACAUGUGAAGGAAACUCUUCCCAGUGGAGGCUGAUCCAGUUUCUGACUGACGACUCGCUGUUGAGCUUUCUUCCUCCAGCUACAAUCAAUGAAUCAACAUAUAUUAAGAAUGAGGCUCCAAGAAAAGCUGUGUACUGGUGUGAGUCUGGAACAGAGUUCAGCAAUGCAGUCAACAUCUCCACACACUCUGAUGGCGUUAUCCUGGUGAGCCCUGUGUAUCCUGUACCUGUGGGAGAGUCUGUAACUCUCCUCUGUGUCAUGAAGACUGGAAAUAUUCCCUCGGAUGUGUUUUUCUACAAAAAUAACAAAGUCAUUGAAAAUGAGAGACGAGGAGAGAUGAAGAUCUCUGCAGUGUCAGAAUCAGAUGAAGGUUUCUACAAGUGUCAGUACAAUGGAAGAGAAUCAGCACAAAGCUGGAUGGCUGUGAAAGUGUUGCAGUGUCCAGAUCUGAGAGCUCUUCAUUCCAUGUCUGGUUGAUCUUUGGGCUGGUUUGUGGAGUUUUGCUUAUUUUCAUCCUCUGCCUGCUGUGGUGCUACAAAUGCAAAAAGAGGUCAUGCUGCAGCAGACGUAUUGAGUCUUUGUAUGUCAAUCAAAGCUCUGCGACAAACCAGCCAGUGACCCAGAGUGAAAGUCAACUUUACUCCUCUCUCCUGCACGGUGAUGUUUCUCUUUAUGAAUCCCUCAGACGCCCUGGAAACCCUGCAAACGGUGAACCAGCUCAGGAUUACAUCAACGUCACAUCCCACCAGCUUGAUGAUCUUCAUGAAUGAUGACGGAGGAAGGAAAAGCCAUAAAUCAGUGUCAGUGAUGCCAGUGGAGCCUCAUCUUCAGGACUGGAAACCACAGCAGAGUCCGAGAAUCAACAGGUUCUGAUUAAAACAUGAAAAGCGACUGAAACCAGAUCAAGCCUGGUGGUUGAAACAAGGAGCUGCUCCUCAUACACAGAAUACACACUGUGUGUAGGACGGUGUGUGGAGGAAGAGGCUUCAUUCCACAUAUUUGACGUGAAAAUGUCUGGUUGAUUGAUAGAUUCUGUCGUUUCUUUCACACUGUUUCACAUCAAUUAUCACAUCACUUUGUUGUGAUUAUCAGAGGAUUUUAAUUUGAAAUCUACACAGGCCUUUUUUAUACGUAGUCUCCAACUGUUGUUCUGCUGAUUAUUAUUGUUUUAACAUUUCUGUUUUGUUACUUUUUUACUUUGGAACAAUUUCAGGUUUUUAAAACUUUUUUUUUGUCUUUUAUACAUGAAUAGUUACAGCUCACGAUCAGUGUAAUUCCAGCA
Salarias fasciatus (jewelled blenny) is the source of this 1647-nucleotide long non-coding RNA. RefSeq lists it as uncharacterized. Lineage: Eukaryota; Metazoa; Chordata; Actinopteri; Blenniiformes; Blenniidae. The transcript has 9 exons. The record is from RefSeq and is a predicted model, not a curated record.